CCUACGGGUGGCAGCAGUGGGGAAUAUUGGGCAAUGGAGGCAACUCUGACCCAGCAACGCCGCGUGAAUGAUGAAGGUCUUCGGAUUGUAAAGUUCUGUGAUGGGGGAUGAACACAAUGACGGUACCCCAAUAGCAAGCCACGGCUAACUACGUGCCAGCAGCCGCGGUAAUACGUAGGGGGCAAGCGUUAUCCGGAUUUACUGGGUGUAAAGGGAGCGUAGACGGUUAUGUAAGUCUGGAGUGAAAGCCCGGGGCCCAACCCCGGGACUGCUUUGGAAACUGUGUAACUGGAGUACAGGAGGGGCAGGCGGAAUUCCUGGUGUAGCGGUGAAAUGCGUAGAUAUCAGGAGGAACACCGGCGGCGAAGGCGGCCUGCUGGACUGAAACUGACGUUGAGGCUCGAAAGCGUGGGGAGCAAACAGGAUUAGAUACCCCGGUAGUC
RNAcentral lists this ribosomal RNA (443 nucleotides) under uncultured bacterium. RNAcentral describes it as "partial 16S ribosomal RNA". It matches the Rfam family "Bacterial small subunit ribosomal RNA", at positions 338 to 795 of the family's 1533-position model. The record is from RNAcentral.